UAAAAAAAAAAAAACUGGGAAGGGGAUUUGGGAAAUCCUAAAAAACGGGAGGGAAAAAUGCUGAAAAAAUCCUAAAAAAUGGGGGGAAAUCCUAAAAAAAUGGGUGGAAAAUCUUAAAAUUUGGGGUAAAAUAUUUAAAAAAAUAGGGGAAAAUUGUAAAAAGAUUUGGAGGAAAAUUUUAGAAAAAUGGGGAAAAAGAAUCUUAUAAAAAUUGGGGGAAAAAAAUCUUAAAAAUUUGGGGGAAAAUCUUAAAGAAUUUUGGGGAAAAUCUUAAAAAAUUUGGGGGAAAAUCUUAAAAAAUUUGGGGGAAAAUCUUAAAAAUUUUGGGGAAAAUCUUAAAAAAAUUUGGGGGAAAAUUGUAAAAAAAUUUUGGGGGAAAAUUGUAAAAAAAUUUUGGGGGAAAAUCCUAAAAAAAUUUUGGGGAAAAAUCUUGGGGAAAAGGGAAAAUUCCCUAAAAUUCCCUAAAAUCCCCCCUGGGUGUCUCUGCAGGUGCGGCCGGAGCCGGUGGCGCCAGGUGGGACACGGAGGGGACACCUGGGACACACCUGAGUGUGACACCUGGGACAUUCCUGAGUGUGACACCUGGGACACACCUGAGUGUGUGACACAGCUGGGACACUCCUGAGUGUGACACACCUGAGCGUGACAUGGAGGGGACACCUGGGACACACCUGAGUGGGACACCUGGGACACACCUGUGCCACACCUGGGACACACCUGGGACACUCCUGAGUGUGGGACACACCUGAGUGUGACAUGGAGGGGACACCUGGGACACACCUGAGUGUGACACACCUGGGCUCGGCCCUGUGUGUGUGACACAACCCUUGGCGGUGUUGGGGACACGGGGAGUGACACAGGUGUGGCACAGGUGUGACACAGGUGACAACGCGUGACAGGUGUCACCGAUGUCCCUGGGCUUGUCCCACCUGUCCUUGUCACACCUGCCCAGGU
Molecule: long non-coding RNA, 954 nt
Filed under: Serinus canaria (Common canary)
Lineage: Eukaryota; Metazoa; Chordata; Aves; Passeriformes; Fringillidae
Description: lncRNA (ENSSCAG00000001567.1)
Source: RNAcentral